GCACCCGUAGCUCAACCGGAUAGAGCAACUGCCUUCUAAGCAGUAGGUUAUAGGUUCGAGUCCUAUCGGGUGUA
This 74-nucleotide transfer RNA is filed under the name Calditrichota bacterium. RNAcentral describes it as "Calditrichaeota bacterium (activated sludge metagenome) tRNA-Arg". It matches the Rfam family "tRNA". From Rfam's summary of the family: Transfer RNA (tRNA) molecules are approximately 80 nucleotides in length. Their secondary structure includes four short double-helical elements and three loops (D, anti-codon, and T loops). Lineage: Bacteria; Pseudomonadati; Calditrichota. The record is from RNAcentral.